GGGGGGGGGGGGGGGGGGGGGUAGGGGAGGGAGGGCGGGGGGAGGGGGGGGGCUUGGGCGUGGGGUGAGGGGGGGGCGGGUGGGUAGUGCGUAGGAAGCUGCCGGGGAGGGGGGGAGAGCGUCGGGAGGCGGGCGGGACUCCCGCAGCGGUCGGGGUGGAGAAGGGGGGGGGGAUUCGGACGUAGCGCGAUCAGAGGAGCCUAGGUCGGAUAAGCUAGUUGGUGGGGUAAAGGCCUACCAAUACGACGAUCCGUAACUGGUCUUAGAGGAUGAUCAGUCACACUGGAACGGAGACACGGUCCAGACUCCUACGGGAGGCAGCAGUGGGGAAUAUUGGACAAUGGGCGAAAGCCUGAUCCAGCCAUGCCGCGUGUGUGAAGAAGGUCUUCGGAUUGUAAGGCACGUUAAGUUGGGAGGAAGGGCAGUAAGUUAAUACCUUGCUGUUUUGACGUUACCAACAGAAUAAGCACCGGCUAACUUCGUG
This 484-nucleotide ribosomal RNA is filed under the name uncultured bacterium. Its description in RNAcentral is "partial 16S ribosomal RNA". It matches the Rfam family "Bacterial small subunit ribosomal RNA", at positions 39 to 507 of the family's 1533-position model. The record is from RNAcentral.